Cryptotermes secundus is the source of this 1590-nucleotide long non-coding RNA. RefSeq lists it as uncharacterized. NCBI's taxonomy places the organism in Eukaryota, Metazoa, Arthropoda, Insecta, Blattodea, Kalotermitidae. The transcript is spliced from 2 exons. The record is from RefSeq and is a predicted model, not a curated record.
GGUGGGAAGCCAGCGACUAACUGCUUAAGCUGUGGCGCGGCCAUUCAAUUCAAUAUGACAAUAUAAUAAUAAAUGACUAUAAUAAUUUAGCAAUCUUGAAGGCAGUUUCUGUGGUCUUGAAUCUUCUUUAAGAUGGUACUAGGCAGAUAAUUCCCAGAAGCAGUCACGAAGUGUUAUUUCCUGGAGAGAGAAUUGAACUGAGCAGUAAGCAUUCUCAUGACUUAUAUUAUCCAACACUAUGAGGCUAAUUUAUUCUUGGUAUAUAUAAUUUAGACUGACUAAAACUCUUUUCUAACAAAUAAAAUACUCACCUACACUGUAAAAAUAAUAAAUGAACUGAGCGAUAAGCGUUCUUAUGACUUGUAUUAUUCAGUACUAUUGUAUUGUAUUUGGCUCAUGAAAUUUGGUGUUGUAGGAGAGUUUAAAAGUAGAUACAAAUUUUGUGUUAAACACUGUUCUUUGUUGGUAAGUAUCAGCUUGGUCAUAGUGAACUGUAAGUAAUGAAGCUUCACUGUUUCAGUUACUUUCUUUGCAAAUAAUUUUGCAGUAUGAAAGUUUAUGUUGACUCCCAUCAAUUCUCCAUGCCUUGCAUAGUCUUUUGAGUGGUUUGUAGCCAUAUUUUAUUGUUGAGGAGAAUGUUAACACUGUUCUUGUAAUGAUGGAACUGAUACAUGACUCAAGUUCUGGGGAAGAUCAGGAUUUUCAUUUUAUAAGCUGAUUGUUCUUGACAUUUAUUAUUGUGCUUGAAUAUUCUUGUUCCGUUUUGUUUCCAGUUCCUCUAGAACCAAUAUUUUGUCCCUGCUAAUAAUCUAAUAUAGAUAAUUGCAUUUUAUAAAAGCUGUACCGACAUCAAAGUGUGUGAAGCAGUGAAAAUACAAAUGUGGCUAUGGAUAUCAUGGUGUUCUGCCUGUAGCCUGUGACCUACUAGCACGAGACCUCAAGUGACUUGUCUGCCAUAAGAUGAAGUAGUUAUUGCUGUACAGUCAUAACGAUCAUAUUACAACAUUUCUCUGACGUCCAUUAUGCUUUCCUAUCUUCCAUUCAUGGCUCUUUCAGGCUGCCUUUUCUCUUGCGGCUAUGCCACCAGAAUCUGUGCAUAUCAGGACUGAAGUGAAAAUCUGCGCAUGUCAAGAAUGAAGUGAAAAUCUAUGCAUGUCAGAACUGAAGUAAAAAUCUGUGCAAGUCAAGACAGAAGUGAAAAUCUAUGCAUGUCAAGACCGAAACAUGACAGGAAGAUAAUAUUACAGUAUUACAGGAAGAACUGUCAGUUUGAUGUGUGUGACCAUGUCAGACUGAUACUUAUUUGUCCAACAAACUGCCUCUCUUGCUUUACUGUACUGUAUUUGCUUCAGGAGGAUAACACAUGCACGUGAUAUCAUCCGACUUUGUGUGUUCCUUUGAUGCCUUCGAUGUUCAGCAUUGAGUAAUAUUCACUUGCUUUUCUUUAUUGCCACUACAUGUUUCAGCCCAACAAGCCAUCUUCAGGUGUACAGGUUGUUGUGAUUGCAGAAUCUGCUGCUUACUGUAAUGCUGUUUUGUUCCUGUUACGUGGAGGCCUUUGACUGUAUCUGGUUAUGUGGGUUAGUCAUC